Molecule: ribosomal RNA, 253 nt
Filed under: uncultured bacterium
Lineage: Bacteria
Description: partial 16S ribosomal RNA
Rfam family: Bacterial small subunit ribosomal RNA
Source: RNAcentral
UACAGAGGGUGCAAGCGUUGUUCGGAAUUAUUGGGCGUAAAGCGCGUGUAGGCGGCUUUGCAAGUCGGGUGUGAAAGCCCUCAGCUCAACUGAGGAAGUGCGCCCGAAACUGCAGAGCUUGAGUGCCGGAGAGGGUGGCGGAAUUCCCCAAGUAGAGGUGAAAUUCGUAGAUAUCGGGAGGAACACCAGUGGCGAAGGCGGCGAUCUGGGAAGAUACUGACGCUGAGGUGCGAAAGCGUGGGGAGCGAACAGG